CUUAGGACUCUGGAGAUGGGUGGAUCAAGGGUCUCCUGCUCCCAGAACCUCUGCUUUGUGAUCCUCUUUAGCCUGUGUUUUCAUCAAAAUGUGACCUCCUAUUGGGCUCUUCUAGGAACAAACACUGGAACUGCAUCAGAGUCCUCAGCAUGGAGCCAGCCGCAUAGGUGGAGCUCUGUGAAUGUUGAUAGAAUCAGAGUAAGAAAGGAGAGGAUGGCACUGGACCCCACGAUGCAAGCAUCCUCCAGACGCGUCAGCACUGGCAGCCUGGGAGAAGUGUCCUCAUCUGCAAAGCAGGGAUGAAAAAGCACCUACUUCAUAGAGUUCUCGUGACCAUUGAGGACAUGUACAUGUUAGGUGCAUGACUGCAUGGCUGGCACAUGGUAAGCGUUAACUCUUUCCCCACCACCUUCACAGAGGGGCAGGGAAGGAGCCUGUGG
RNAcentral lists this long non-coding RNA (440 nucleotides) under Pan troglodytes (chimpanzee). RNAcentral's name for it is "long non-coding RNA NONPTRT017613". Lineage: Eukaryota; Metazoa; Chordata; Mammalia; Primates; Hominidae. The record is from RNAcentral.